UGGGGUUUCUAAUCGGCAUUUACCAUGACAAAUUUUAUGCAAUGCCCUUGGAAAUCCCAAA
This 61-nucleotide microRNA precursor is filed under the name Centruroides sculpturatus (bark scorpion). RNAcentral describes it as "Csc-Mir-193-P2v_pre stem-loop". The record is from RNAcentral. Lineage: Eukaryota; Metazoa; Arthropoda; Arachnida; Scorpiones; Buthidae.